Molecule: long non-coding RNA, 388 nt
Filed under: Homo sapiens (human)
Lineage: Eukaryota; Metazoa; Chordata; Mammalia; Primates; Hominidae
Description: HSALNT0091880
Source: RNAcentral
GCCUUGUAAGUCACAUAAUAGAACACUGGCUUUCAUCCUUAGCCCUUACAAAUGGCAACAGAGCUAUUUUUAGCCUCUGUGGACAGCUCCAUAGGGAGAAUGAACUAUUCGUCAACGUCACCCAUAUUUUACUGAAGAUUUUGAAGGUAUUCCAAUGUGACUGACUACUACGUUUCCUCACAUGUGUGCUGCUGUAUCUGAGAUCACCAUGUUUUCAAUUAUCUCAUAUGAACCUGUGAGGAAAUUUAAAUCAAAGAAGGUGCAUACUUGGCUUCAUACACUGAAGGCACAGCAAGCCUGAGACUGGGACAUAGGGACAUUGACUUCCUUUUCAAUGUGAUGCUCCAUACACAGCCCUACCUGCUAUAAAUGACGAUGCUCUAUUUUU